CAAUGUAAUGUUCAUAGAAAUAGUGUUUUUUAACCACUUUCUUUCGUAUUGUUUAUUACUUUUGGUGUUAUCUCCCGUAGUUGUCAUGAGCUAUUUUUUGACCCAAAUUUGAGGAUGUAGAUCAAGCUGAACCAAAGGCAUUUACAUCAAAUUAGGAAUAUGUUGGUCAAGCACCUGCUGUACAUAGAACAACAAUCCAUUACAGCUUUGACUAUGCCGAGCAGGUCUUCUACCUAUACUAGGCACAGCAGGAGUGCCCUGCUUGGAAGUGUUCUGUAAAUCAUAUGGUUCACAGAUAUCUCAGUGAUAAGGGUUUAGCUGUUAUGUGGCCAAUGGUGUGGUACCUCAUUUUCAACAUCAUCCAUAUAGAGAAGACUCUGCAUACCUGCACAUUGACAACUGUGUUUGGUGGAAUAAAAACAAUGCAGUCAUUGGGGUCUGAUGUAUUCUGAAGGGAGAGACACAGCAUUUACUUAAAUGGAAGCAGGUGACAUAAAGUUCAGUCAUGUGUGAGAUUUGGUCUGUGGAAGACCAAAUGGAGGCAGCACUUUGUGGAUUGAUGACCUUGGCAAACUGGUUAUAUUCUUUGACUGGUUGGAGUACACCAAGUGACCCCUGAAGUCCAUUCCAAACUUGAGGAAAUAUCAUCACUUCAGAACUUCAGCUAACAACCCAGUGAGUGCAUUCAUGAGAGAGCAUGCCAAGGACAGUGAGAUUGAAGUUAAAAUUGACAAGCCCACAAAAAUGGCUUUUCCUUGGAGAGUACCCUGAACGCAUCCAACUAAAAGGACUUAAUGCAAAAAGGCUCUGAUCCUUUAAAUAAGUGAAAACACUAAUAUACUGAUAUGUGAUCUUUAUAAACUAAAUAUAAGAUUUAAAAAUGAGCCCGUUACUGAGCUGAUGAAAACGUGCAUCAAUAUUUUAUUGACAGUUAUUAAUUCAAUAGGAACAUGUUCAUGUGAAAUGAAGCUACCAGUGAUUUUGAGUGAAAAACUGUGGUUUUAGCAAAUGAUUGAUAGAAGGGUGCUACACCCUGUCUUUUGUUGGUAGAGCCCCUCUGCCAUAAUGUAGACCACUAUAUGUUUAUUAUUAAUACAAACUUAAAACAAUCUGGCAGUUGAAGCCUAUAAAUGCUUGAAUUGAAGACAUUUAUAGUAUUGUUUGUCAAUAUUAGUUACUUCACAGCCUGAUAAAAUGUACCUUAGCAACCUUUCAGUUUUUCUUCAAUAUCUUUAUUUUUAAAACCUUCCUGAACCCUAUAAAAAUGUUCAGCUUUAACUUUUACCUAUGAGUAAGCAUCGAAAAUAUAAUUUGUCAUGUACUAAUGUGACCAAUUGCAUACCUCUUGAAACUACAUAAUGACGUGUACAUGCUAAGUAGUUAGUAUGUUACAUAAAUUGUUUUCAUUUUUGUAAAAUGUAAAUGUGCCCAUUUAUUAACUGAUCUAAUUUUAUAAUGGUGUAAAUUGUGUAGGAUUGUUAUGUUUCACAUUUGAGGUAAAUUGGUAAAGUUGGUGUGAUUAUAAUCAUGUUUGUGGCCUGUUGCCAUGGUAACCAGGAUAAAAAACAAACUCUUAAAUACCAUUCAAAUAAGAUAAAUUAUAGUAAAUUACAGGGGUAACAUACUUUAACUUCUAGAUAUACAUUGGUUUGUAUUAGGUGCAAGUUCCAACCUAAUGUCAAUUUAUUGUGAAAAAUUGCCAAUAAACUACGGUACUUGGCGAACAGUUUUUAUUUAUUCGGAUUUUUUUAUGUCAAAUACAUACACCAUUUACAGUAAGGUUUGAGGAUAUCAAUUAACAGAUCAAUUAUUAUUGAAUGCUUCAUAUGGCAUUUAUUGUAUAUUUAAAUGAAAAUUUAACCCCAAAACGCCUUUUUCAAUAAAGGUUGCCAUGGUAACCAAUUAAUUUUCAUUUAUUUUCUCAAUAAUAAUUUAGAAUGGUUUUGAAAAUAUAUUGUUGUCGUUAUAAUGUGGGAAAUGUUUAUAUUGUAGUGAUGAAUAUUUAUUGCAUCUGUGAAUACAAAUGUUUCAAUAAAUUCUUGAACUUUA
Molecule: long non-coding RNA, 2049 nt
Organism: Mya arenaria
Lineage: Eukaryota; Metazoa; Mollusca; Bivalvia; Myida; Myidae
Exons: 6
Source: RefSeq, a predicted model, not a curated record